RNAcentral lists this microRNA (23 nucleotides) under Apis mellifera (honey bee). RNAcentral's name for it is "ame-miR-9874-5p". The record is from miRBase by way of RNAcentral. Lineage: Eukaryota; Metazoa; Arthropoda; Insecta; Hymenoptera; Apidae.
AGAAUCCUUUGCUCGUCGUGGGA